UUAACACAUGCAAGUCGAACGGUAAGGCCCUUCGGGGGUACACGAGUGGCGAACGGGUGAGUAACACGUGGGUAAUCUGCCCUGCACUUCGGGAUAAGCCUGGGAAACUGGGUCUAAUACCGGAUAUGAACUCCUGCCGCAUGGUGGGGGUUGGAAAGUUUUUCGGUGCAGGAUGAGCCCGCGGCCUAUCAGCUUGUUGGUGGGGUAAUGGCCUACCAAGGCGACGACGGGUAGCCGGCCUGAGAGGGUGAUCGGCCACACUGGGACUGAGACACGGCCCAGACUCCUACGGGAGGCAGCAGUGGGGAAUAUUGCACAAUGGGCGAAAGCCUGAUGCAGCGACGCCGCGUGGGGGAUGACGGUCUUCGGAUUGUAAACCCCUUUCAGUAGGGACGAAGCGCAAGUGACGGUACCUGCAGAAGAAGCACCGGCUAACUACGUGCCAGCAGCCGCGGUAAUACGUAGGGUGCGAGCGUUGUCCGGAAUUACUGGGCGUAAAGAGCUCGUAGGCGGUUUGUCACGUCGUCUGUGAAAUCCCUCGGCUUAACCGGGGGCGUGCAGGCGAUACGGGCAGACUUGAGUACUACAGGGGAGACUGGAAUUCCUGGUGUAGCGGUGAAAUGCGCAGAUAUCAGGAGGAACACCGGUGGCGAAGGCGGGUCUCUGGGUAGUAACUGACGCUGAGGAGCGAAAGCAUGGGUAGCGAACAGGAUUAGAUACCCUGGUAGUCCAUGCCGUAAACGGUGGGCGCUAGGUGUGGGGUCCUUCCACGGACUCCGUGCCGUAGCUAACGCAUUA
This 798-nucleotide ribosomal RNA is filed under the name Dietzia maris. Its description in RNAcentral is "bacterial SSU rRNA". It matches the Rfam family "Bacterial small subunit ribosomal RNA", at positions 48 to 862 of the family's 1533-position model. Lineage: Bacteria; Bacillati; Actinomycetota; Actinomycetes; Mycobacteriales; Dietziaceae. The record is from RNAcentral.